GCCGUGGAGGUCUGUCAGUCAUCUCACGCACAUUCCUGCCCAAAAGUUCUCAAACCACCAGUUGAAUCGUGGCUCAAAGCAGCUCAAGACAUGGCAGGAGCAAUGUAUCGAAGCCUGGCGGAGGAUGGUGUCCGCACAGGACUGGGGGCUCGUGGAUGUAGUCACGAGAUAGUGUUGACAAACUGUCAGGAUGUAACUGAUGGGGAAGUGGUGUGGCGGCGCGCCCCUCCGUACAUUUCAGUACCGCGACAAGUGCCCUUCCGCCGCUUCUUGCCUAUGGCUGCCGACGUGCUUGUGGCUAAGUGUUCCCAACCCUCAGUGUAGGGAUGGUGUGCUCUCCUUACAGUGCAACAUAAUAGUCGCGUCGCGGCCUGAGCUCGGUCCUUGCCGAGGGAAAUGCGUGCGAUGACGAGCACGUCGGUCCGCGGCACAGCCCUCAGGUCAUCUCGCCCGGGAGUGUAACAGUGAGACAGACGCGUGUGCCGGAGUACUGGAGACUGCAUCUCCGCGCCACGCCACUCACAGCGCCACCGCCACCUUCACUUGCCGUAUUGUGGUGGUGACGGGAACACGUUCUCUUGACAUCCUGAAAGGUUUCGAGGAAUAAGAAAACAGUUAAUGAUGGAGGUAAGAAUGAUCACAUCUUUGUGUUGUGUUUUUUUGCUACAUUUUUAUUGCUUUUAUGAAUUGUUCUAAUUUUAAAGAGAACAGGAGGAGG
Long non-coding RNA from Portunus trituberculatus (swimming crab), 718 nucleotides. RefSeq lists it as uncharacterized. Lineage: Eukaryota; Metazoa; Arthropoda; Malacostraca; Decapoda; Portunidae. The record is from RefSeq and is a predicted model, not a curated record. The transcript has 3 exons.